RNAcentral lists this ribosomal RNA (355 nucleotides) under uncultured bacterium. RNAcentral describes it as "bacterial SSU rRNA". It matches the Rfam family "Bacterial small subunit ribosomal RNA", at positions 30 to 396 of the family's 1533-position model. The record is from RNAcentral.
AUUGAACGCUGGCGGCAGGCCUAACACAUGCAAGUCGAGCGGGGGUAGCAAUACCCUAGCGGCGAACGGGUGAGGAAUGCUUGGGAAUCUGCCUGGUAGUGGGGGAUAACGUUCCGAAAGGAACGCUAAUACCGCAUACGUCCUACGGGAGAAAGGGGGGAGUCUUCGGACCUCUCGCUAUCAGAUGAGCCCAAGCGGGAUUAGCUAGUUGGUGAGGUAAAGGCUCACCAAGGCGACGAUCCCUAGCUGGUCUGAGAGGAUGAUCAGCCACACUGGAACUGAGACACGGUCCAGACUCCUACGGGAGGCAGCAUGGGGGAAUAUUGGACGAAUGGCGAAGACCUGAUCAGCACUG